GACGAACGCUGGCGGCGUGCUUAACACAUGCAAGUCGAACGGUAAGGCCCUUCGGGGUACACGAGUGGCGAACGGGUGAGUAACACGUGGGUGAUCUGCCCUGCACUUCGGGAUAAGCCUGGGAAACUGGGUCUAAUACCGGAUAGGACUCCGGACUCCAUGGUCUGGGGUGGAAAGCUUUUGCGGUGUGGGAUGGGCCCGCGGCCUAUCAGCUUGUUGGUGGGGUGAUGGCCUACCAAGGCGACGACGGGUAGCCGGCCUGAGAGGGUGACCGGCCACACUGGGACGGAGAUACGGCCCAGACUCCUACGGGAGGCAGCAGUGGGGAAUAUUGCACAAUGGGCGCAAGCCUGAUGCAGCGACGCCGCGUGAGGGAUGACGGCCUUCGGGUUGUAAACCUCUUUCAGCACAGACGAAGCGCAAGUGACGGUAUGUGCAGAAGAAGGACCGGCCAACUACGUGCCAGCAGCCGCCGUAA
RNAcentral lists this ribosomal RNA (478 nucleotides) under uncultured bacterium. RNAcentral's name for it is "partial 16S ribosomal RNA". It matches the Rfam family "Bacterial small subunit ribosomal RNA", at positions 28 to 523 of the family's 1533-position model. The record is from RNAcentral.